RNAcentral lists this ribosomal RNA (254 nucleotides) under uncultured bacterium. Its description in RNAcentral is "partial 16S ribosomal RNA". It matches the Rfam family "Bacterial small subunit ribosomal RNA", at positions 524 to 776 of the family's 1533-position model. The record is from RNAcentral.
CACGUAGGGGGCGAGCGUUGUCCGGAUUUAUUGGGCGUAAAGGGCUCGUAGGCGGCUCAGUAAGUCGGGUGUGAAACCUCCAGGCUCAACCUGGAGACGCCACUUGAUACUGCUGUGGCUAGAGUCCGGUAGGGGAGCAUGGAAUUCCUGGUGUAGCGGUGAAAUGCGCAGAUAUCAGGAGGAACACCAGUGGCGAAGGCGGUGCUCUGGGCCGGAACUGACGCUGAUGAGCGAAAGCGUGGGGAGCAAACAGG